UGUCCCUGCAUGCUCCAUGGUAGUUCUUUAUUAAUUCUGUUUUUGUGUAUUCUGAAAGCCUAGUUAUAACUCUUUAGAUAACCCUUAAGGCCUCUUAAGGGUCUGGUUUUCUUGAAGAAUGGAUCUCCAAUUCCAGGGUCUCUGUUGACUUACCCGCGGGCCGGGACAAGUGGCGCCCAACGUGGGGCCAGAGAACGGGGGAUCCAGUGAAGGACGCUGCUCAGGGGCCCUAAGAUUAAGAUUGAGGAACAAAGAGCAUACUCGACAUAGAAGAGGCUUGCGAUUGACGUGGACCUGCCGUCUUUUUGCACCUCGGAAACAUCGUCAUCAUUUAAAGUUUGGACCUCCGGCGCACAAUAAAGAGGGAACUCAUGAAGGACAUCUGGCUGAAUGAACGAUCCGAAAACAAGAAUAGGAUGAGCUGGAAAUGCCUAGUUCCCCUGAUAUUGCUGACCAGGGUAUGGGUGGUGUCGCCUUCAGAAGGGUUAGACCACAUGAAAAAUAUAUGGAUUCAGUUGGCAGGCUCGCUCAACUUGUCUGAGUUUUGUCUAAGUGCUGAUGUAAACUUUCAUUAUAUGUUGGGAAGUUGCCUCGUUCCUGUAUGUACCCCAUUGGAAUCAUUGCGGCCUUAUACUCUGUUUAAAGAUAUCCCAGG
Molecule: long non-coding RNA, 655 nt
Filed under: Heterocephalus glaber (naked mole-rat)
Lineage: Eukaryota; Metazoa; Chordata; Mammalia; Rodentia; Bathyergidae
Description: lncRNA (ENSHGLG00000048452.1)
Source: RNAcentral